CACAUAACACGUAACACGUAAACAUAAUAUAUAGAUGCAAAAAUCCUAAGAAAAGCGGAUAAAACAUAUAACGCAUAAGCCCCAUAAACACACAACCUACCUAUUACAUCGGAGAGUUUAACUAUAAUCUAAAUGGGGAAAGUAUGAAAUAAAUCUACAUAUCCUAUCUAUUACAUUGGUCUAUCUAAUUACAAUUUUUGUAAAAAAAAAUAUUACAUAUCUAUUACAUCUUGAGGUAUUUAAACACCUCUCAAAUAAUUAAAAAAUUAACUAAACAAACAUAAGAGAAUUGGAAUAAACAUUUGAAUCAAAUAAAUAACAAAACAUAUAAAAAUUAUAUAGACACAUAAGAGCACGUAUGAGCACAUAAGAGCACGUAAUUGACAUUUAAAUGAUAAUAGGGGUAUCUCCCUUUUGAAAUGGUGACUAAAUGGAAGUCAAAUUACCCUAUUUAUACUCAAAAUAAAAAAAGAAUCAUGACACCAAUUUAAUUGAAAAUAAUAAUAAUGAUAAAAAUACUGAACUCAUAUUAAUAUGUCAAAUAUAAAGAAACUUAAGGGCAUCUAAAAAUUACAAGUUAAAUAUAUUCAAAAGUAACACAAUGAGCUAUUAAAGAAAAAAAAAUCAUAAUCAAAAGAGUCAAAAUUCACUAGGGACUAAAUUGCAAAAAAUGGAAAAAUUUUUGAGGCUAAAAAUACAAUUUUUCCAAAGUUUAAGGGUUAAAAUUAAAUAAAAGAUAAAGUUCAGGUGCCAAAGUGCACUUAAUAUAAGGGCCUAAGUGAAAGAAAUUUAAAAUAUUCUAGGCCACAGUAAAAUUACUCCAAAAAUCAGAGGCUAAAGUGAAAAUUUUGGUUUUUGAUUUGGACAAGAAAAAAAGGCCAUCGGGCCUUUCUUUUAUUUUUGCUUGGGCCGGAUACUACCUAAGCCCAGCCGAAACCCAAAAAAAAAAAAGCGAUCCAACCCAUCCUUUUAUCACUCAAGCCUGACCAAAAAAGCAUGGACUCUGACCUCCUAACCCAAAUCGAAACCCAAAAGAAACAAACCAAAACCAUUCCCAAAACCCAACCAAAAAUAACCAUAAGCUUACCAGAAAAAAAACAUUUAGCCCAAUCCUUUUUCUUUUCUCUUCUUUUUCUUUUCUUUCCUUUCUUUUCUUUUCGUUCUUCUUUCUCCCCCUUCCGUAUCUUCUUCUUCUUGCCUGGCAACAUGAAGCUCCUCGCAACUGGUGGCCUCCGGCGGUGCCGCUGUCGGACCGGUGGCAAAUUUCUCAGUCACCAAAUUUUCUCAAAAUACAUCUCCUCACUCGGUUUUUCGCGAGAUUCUAUUUUUGGCCUUAGUUUUUACAAAAAAUGAACCGAAAGUGGCGAAAAUAGCAAAAGGCAGCCCAAUUUUUAUUUUUUUCAAAUUACCAUAUCUUUCACAAAAAAAAACAUAAAAAUUAUACUACAAAACUCCUUAUAAUUUCUAUAUUACAACUAUGACUAUGAUCUUAUUUUGACAAAAACACAACAACAAAAGUCUAAAUUAAGGUAAAACAGCCCCUAAUUUUGAAAAAAUUCAUUCCUUGCUUUUAGGUCAAAACUUAAAUUUUGGACAAUCAAACAUCUUUUCCAGGCCCUGUACUAGCUACGGGUCAUCCAUUUUAACAAAACUAUGCAUAAAAAUUCACUAAUUUUGAUUAUUUUUCAUUUUGGCAUUUUUUCAAACAGUUAAUAUGCAUGUACAAAAACCAUUUUCUUUUCCUUAAUCUAGCUCAAGUCAUUUCCCAACAACAUAAUGAUAACAAAACCAACAAGAGAAAGAAACAAACUAACGUCUAGACAUGCUUAUAGUACGGGACAUAAAGAACUUGAGUCAUCAAGGAAAAUUUCAGCACCAACUUUGAAUUUAAGGCAAGGAACAGCAAAGGAAAAGCAAAAAUGAAAACCUUACCUUGUCUUGCAGUGGAGAAAUUACACAGCGGUAGCGGCAAUGGCGAUUUUUGAUGAUGAUAACCUCCCCUACUUGUUUUCUUAGCCUUUUCUUUCUGUUUUCUUUUCUUUUCUCCUUGUAUCCGAGAAAGAGGAAUUGGGUGUGUGAAAUUGGAAGGGGAGAGCCGAGAGUGAUUUGGGGUUUUUUCUUAGUUAUCUGAUGGUGUGUUUGUCUCUUGUGUGUGUUUUAGAGAGAAGAUGUUGUGAGUUGAGAGCAAGAAAACCAAAUGGCCGAGAGAAUCUUCUGGAGUGGAGUCCUCUUUUCCUAGUUUUCUGAUGGUGUGUUUUCUAUUGGGAGAAAUAAGAA
Molecule: long non-coding RNA, 2277 nt
Filed under: Coffea arabica (coffee)
Lineage: Eukaryota; Viridiplantae; Streptophyta; Magnoliopsida; Gentianales; Rubiaceae
Description: long non-coding RNA (CARA_LNC005990)
Source: RNAcentral